UGUAAGCGUAUACCAAAGUUGUUGCAGUUAAAACGCUCGUAGUCGGACUUUGGCGGUUCCGGAAGCGUGCCGCGUCGUGCGGCCGCUUUGCAGGGACUGCUUUUGUGGGUUUCGCGUCAGAUGAGGGCUGUUAAUUCGGUAACGUCUGUACGCAACCACUUUUUACUGUGAGAAAAUCAGAGUGCUCAAAGCAGGCAUUUGCCGUGAAUGUAUUAGCAUGGAAUAAUAGAAUAGGACUUGGUUCUAUUUUGUUGGUUUGUUGGGACUGAGUAAUGAUUAAGAGGGACAGUUGGGGGCAUUUGUAUUUCGGUGCUAGAGGUGAAAUUCUUAGAUUACCGAAAGACAAACUGCUGCGAAAGCGUCUGCCAAGGAUGUUUUCAUUGA
This 384-nucleotide ribosomal RNA is filed under the name uncultured eukaryote. RNAcentral describes it as "partial 18S ribosomal RNA". It matches the Rfam family "Eukaryotic small subunit ribosomal RNA", at positions 592 to 976 of the family's 1831-position model. The record is from RNAcentral.